Molecule: long non-coding RNA, 2084 nt
Organism: Equus asinus (donkey)
Lineage: Eukaryota; Metazoa; Chordata; Mammalia; Perissodactyla; Equidae
Source: Ensembl
AUAAAGGUCCUUAAAUGUGGAAGAGGGAAUGAGGAGAGAGAACCAGAUUGACGGCGAAGUGAGAAGAACUUGGCUGGAUGUUGCUGGCUUUGAAAAUGGGAGAAUGGGGCCGUGAGGCAAGGAAUAUGGGAGGAGGAGGGGCGGCUCUAGAAGCCAGAAGGGGCGCAGAAAUGGAUUCUCCUCAGAGCCUUCAGAGAGGAAUGCGGCCCUGCUGACAUCUUGACUUUAGCCUAGUGAGACCCGUGGACCUCUGACCUCCAGAACUAUGGGAUAAUAAAUUUGGGUUGUUUUGAGCCAGUAUGCUCACGAUGACUUGUAGUUAGAAAACUAAUACAGGAUGAAAGGGUCUCCUCUUCCGUGUGACCGUUCCCUCCCACAGGGUGGGACGCUAUGGCAGCUGGUGAGACAGAACAUUUAUUGGACAUGUUUCACCAGGGAGUGGAGUUAAUGCAUUAACAGGAAUGUUCCUGAGUAGCGUUGCCUCUUUCUCUGCUGCUCUCUCAUGAUGCAAACACACUUGGACAGGGCUGCCCCUGCCCCUGUCUUCCCUGGGGGGUGUCUGCUGUCUCCCUCUCUGUUUAGGGAUCGGGCCAGGAGGAAGCAGAGGAGGCCCCUUUUGGACUGGCGUCUCGAUUGCAUUCUCCAGCUCGGCUUGCCAGAGAGAUGCCACUAAGUUUCUGCACGGUGUGUUGCUGGCGUUAGCAACUUGAUUCUGGCUCCCGUGUGUUGGGAGGAGACUGUCACCGAGAUGCCUCACCAUCGUCUCUUCUGUUCAAACUGCAUUCUGCCCUGGCUAAGCAAGCCAGAUUCCCGCCCCCGUGCUGCCUGAGCCACUGACUGAAGAUGAUGCUCACGAGCAGCAUGGAUGAGCGGCUCACCCUGCAAGCAGCAGCACCAUCCAGGACCUGCAUGGAGCGUGCACACCAGGUGGCUGUGACUGAGUGCAGGCCCUCCACACAUCUUUCUCUUGUACUUUGAAUCCUCAUUAAAGGUUUUUUUUUUUGCCUCCUCCCCCCGAAAAAAAAAAACUCCCACAAAAAACCAUGCACUAGGUUCUGGGCACAUAAUUGCCUGGAGCCUGAGAAUAUGCUUGUGUUUCUAAGUUUUGUUGGUAUGGAGUUGGUGCCACAGUAUUCUGUACCCUAGUUGCUCUGACUUUGCAAAAGAGGGACCCAGGAGCUACUUGGGGGUGGAGGUGCUGGAGGAAAUGCUCACAUUUCACGGGUGAAAGGCCAGGAUGCAGCCAGUUCCUCUCUCCCAGGCAUAACAGCCUUUUUGCUGACCCCAAGGGAGCGCUCCCCAUGCUAGGGGCUCUGCACCCUCCUCGUCCUCAGGAGGUCUGAGGUCUCACCACAGUCCCUCCUACUGUCACACCUUAGAUGCAGCUCCCUCCAGGCCCGGGAGAGGAUGGAGAUGCAGGUACCUAACCCCUGUCCACACUCUGAAGCUGAAGUUACAGGGAGAGGGUGUGCCUCCCCUUUCCCUUCACAUCCAGUUCACAUCCAGGCCUCAUUCUGCCAAACAGCUGGAGCGACUGAAAGGACGCUCCCCAGCCCGUCCCCGGGCUCACAGAGUUGCCUCAGGUGGGGAGGCCCAGCCAAGCCCUGGCGGCAGGUGGGGGAGAAAUAGAGAACUGACCUUGUGGGAAACAGAUAUUCAUUAGGAAUGGGGAUGUCGAGGCAAAUGGACAAAGCUCGAUUCCUGUGGAGUGAGACCUCCUGCUAAGAUUGAGCAGAAUAAGAAAUUGGGAAGGGACGAAUUUCAGGCUUUCAUUUCCUUGCAUUUUAAUUUAAAAGGAAGUGUAUUUAAAUUUUGUUCUUUGUCACUUUUGAAAUUAGGAGGGGUUUAUGUUCAAAUUUAGGGCAAUUUUUUUGUUGCUGUGGUAUUUGAUGCUGCCAGGUAGUGCUUGUUUUGUAAUCUGCAGGAGGGCCGUACGGGGCAACGCGAUUGAGCUGAUUGGAGAAAGGAAACAGUUUAGGGCACAGACAGUCUUGGAAUUAAUUUGUGUCUUAUUUGGACCCAAUUCGGAGGCUUUUGGGGGGCAACAUUAAACUGGUCACCCCACUGAUUCCAGGAGGCUGUGC